RNAcentral lists this ribosomal RNA (620 nucleotides) under uncultured bacterium. RNAcentral describes it as "bacterial SSU rRNA". It matches the Rfam family "Bacterial small subunit ribosomal RNA", at positions 338 to 951 of the family's 1533-position model. The record is from RNAcentral.
CCUACGGGAGGCAGCAGUGGGGAAUUUUGGACAAUGGGCGCAAGCCUGAUCCAGCCAUGCCGCGUGCGGGAAGAAGGCCUUCGGGUUGUAAACCGCUUUUGUCAGGGAAGAAAUCCUUUGGGUUAAUACCUCGGAGGGAUGACGGUACCUGAAGAAUAAGCACCGGCUAACUACGUGCCAGCAGCCGCGGUAAUACGUAGGGUGCGAGCGUUAAUCGGAAUUACUGGGCGUAAAGCGUGCGCAGGCGGUUAUGCAAGACAGAUGUGAAAUCCCCGGGCUCAACCUGGGAACUGCAUUUGUGACUGCAUAGCUAGAGUACGGUAGAGGGGGAUGGAAUUCCGCGUGUAGCAGUGAAAUGCGUAGAUAUGCGGAGGAACACCGAUGGCGAAGGCAAUCCCCUGGACCUGUACUGACGCUCAUGCACGAAAGCGUGGGGAGCAAACAGGAUUAGAUACCCUGGUAGUCCACGCCCUAAACGAUGUCAACUGGUUGUUGGACGGCUUGCUGUUCAGUAACGAAGCUAACGCGUGAAGUUGACCGCCUGGGGAGUACGGCCGCAAGGUUGAAACUCAAAUGAAAUUGACGGCUGAGACGNGCGACGACGACGACGAGGGAGGAGG